UACGUAGGGUGCAAGCGUUAAUCGGAAUUACUGGGCGUAAAGCGUGCGCAGGCGGUGAUGUAGACAGAUGUGAAAUCCCCGGGCUCAACCUGGGAACUGCAUUUGUGACUGCAUCGCUGGAGUACGGCAGAGGGGGAUGGAAUUCCGCGUGUAGCAGUGAAAUGCGUAGAUAUGCGGAGGAACACCGAUGGCGAAGGCAAUCCCCUGGGCCGUACUGACGCUCAUGCACGAAAGCGUGGGGAGCAAACAGG
This 251-nucleotide ribosomal RNA is filed under the name uncultured bacterium. Its description in RNAcentral is "partial 16S ribosomal RNA". It matches the Rfam family "Bacterial small subunit ribosomal RNA", at positions 524 to 776 of the family's 1533-position model. The record is from RNAcentral.